RNAcentral lists this ribosomal RNA (1564 nucleotides) under Staphylococcus aureus. RNAcentral's name for it is "16S ribosomal RNA". It matches the Rfam family "Bacterial small subunit ribosomal RNA". The record is from RNAcentral. Lineage: Bacteria; Bacillati; Bacillota; Bacilli; Caryophanales; Staphylococcaceae.
CAUCAUAAUUUUUAUGGAGAGUUUGAUCCUGGCUCAGGAUGAACGCUGGCGGCGUGCCUAAUACAUGCAAGUCGAGCGAACGGACGAGAAGCUUGCUUCUCUGAUGUUAGCGGCGGACGGGUGAGUAACACGUGGAUAACCUACCUAUAAGACUGGGAUAACUUCGGGAAACCGGAGCUAAUACCGGAUAAUAUUUUGAACCGCAUGGUUCAAAAGUGAAAGACGGUCUUGCUGUCACUUAUAGAUGGAUCCGCGCUGCAUUAGCUAGUUGGUAAGGUAACGGCUUACCAAGGCAACGAUGCAUAGCCGACCUGAGAGGGUGAUCGGCCACACUGGAACUGAGACACGGUCCAGACUCCUACGGGAGGCAGCAGUAGGGAAUCUUCCGCAAUGGGCGAAAGCCUGACGGAGCAACGCCGCGUGAGUGAUGAAGGUCUUCGGAUCGUAAAACUCUGUUAUUAGGGAAGAACAUAUGUGUAAGUAACUGUGCACAUCUUGACGGUACCUAAUCAGAAAGCCACGGCUAACUACGUGCCAGCAGCCGCGGUAAUACGUAGGUGGCAAGCGUUAUCCGGAAUUAUUGGGCGUAAAGCGCGCGUAGGCGGUUUUUUAAGUCUGAUGUGAAAGCCCACGGCUCAACCGUGGAGGGUCAUUGGAAACUGGAAAACUUGAGUGCAGAAGAGGAAAGUGGAAUUCCAUGUGUAGCGGUGAAAUGCGCAGAGAUAUGGAGGAACACCAGUGGCGAAGGCGACUUUCUGGUCUGUAACUGACGCUGAUGUGCGAAAGCGUGGGGAUCAAACAGGAUUAGAUACCCUGGUAGUCCACGCCGUAAACGAUGAGUGCUAAGUGUUAGGGGGUUUCCGCCCUUAGUGCUGCAGCUAACGCAUUAAGCACUCCGCCUGGGGAGUACGACCGCAAGGUUGAAACUCAAAGGAAUUGACGGGGACCCGCACAAGCGGUGGAGCAUGUGGUUUAAUUCGAAGCAACGCGAAGAACCUUACCAAAUCUUGACAUCCUUUGACAACUCUAGAGAUAGAGCUUUCCCCUUCGGGGGACAAAGUGACAGGUGGUGCAUGGUUGUCGUCAGCUCGUGUCGUGAGAUGUUGGGUUAAGUCCCGCAACGAGCGCAACCCUUAAGCUUAGUUGCCAUCAUUAAGUUGGGCACUCUAAGUUGACUGCCGGUGACAAACCGGAGGAAGGUGGGGAUGACGUCAAAUCAUCAUGCCCCUUAUGAUUUGGGCUACACACGUGCUACAAUGGACAAUACAAAGGGCAGCGAAACCGCGAGGUCAAGCAAAUCCCAUAAAGUUGUUCUCAGUUCGGAUUGUAGUCUGCAACUCGACUACAUGAAGCUGGAAUCGCUAGUAAUCGUAGAUCAGCAUGCUACGGUGAAUACGUUCCCGGGUCUUGUACACACCGCCCGUCACACCACGAGAGUUUGUAACACCCGAAGCCGGUGGAGUAACCUUUUAGGAGCUAGCCGUCGAAGGUGGGACAAAUGAUUGGGGUGAAGUCGUAACAAGGUAGCCGUAUCGGAAGGUGCGGCUGGAUCACCUCCUUUCUA